RNAcentral lists this ribosomal RNA (426 nucleotides) under uncultured bacterium. RNAcentral's name for it is "bacterial SSU rRNA". It matches the Rfam family "Bacterial small subunit ribosomal RNA", at positions 355 to 776 of the family's 1533-position model. The record is from RNAcentral.
UUAAGAAUCUUGCACAAUGGGCGCAAGCCUGAUGCAGCGACGCCGCGUGAAUGAUGAAGGCCUUCGGGUUGUAAAGUUCAGUAAGCAGGGAAGAAUAAGCAAGAGGUAAUAUUUCUUGUGAUGACGGUACCUGCCUAAAGCCCCGGCUAACUACGUGCCAGCAGCCGCGGUAAUACGUAUGGGGCGAGCGUUGUUCGGAAUUAUUGGGCGUAAAGGGCGUCUAGGCGGGAAAUUAAGUUAGGUGUGAAAGCUAUGGGCUCAACCCAUAAACUGCAUCUAAAACUGAUUUUCUUGAGUUCGGGAGAGGAGAGCGGAAUUCCAGGUGUAGCGGUGAAAUGCGUAGAUAUCUGGAAGAACACCAGUGGCGAAGGCGGCUCUCUGGCCUAGAACUGACGCUGAAGCGCGAAAGCGUGGGGAGCGAACAGG